RNAcentral lists this transfer RNA (23 nucleotides) under Taxodium distichum var. imbricarium. RNAcentral describes it as "partial tRNA-Gly". Lineage: Eukaryota; Viridiplantae; Streptophyta; Pinopsida; Cupressales; Cupressaceae. The record is from RNAcentral.
GCGGGUAUAGUUUAGUGGUAAAG